This 3361-nucleotide long non-coding RNA is filed under the name Linum usitatissimum (flax). RNAcentral's name for it is "long non-coding RNA (LUSI_LNC005639)". Lineage: Eukaryota; Viridiplantae; Streptophyta; Magnoliopsida; Malpighiales; Linaceae. The record is from RNAcentral.
ACUACUAUAAAUCUCCACCACCACCUUCUCCAUCUCCGCCGCCACCUUACCACUACUCUUCUCCACCACCACCUAAGAAAUCACCUCCACCACCAUACUACUACAAAUCUCCACCACCACCUUCGCCAUCUCCUCCUCCACCUUACCACUACUCCUCUCCACCACCACCUAAAAAAUCACCUCCACCACCAUACUACUAUAAGUCUCCACCACCACCUUCACCAUCUCCUCCACCACCGUACUACUAUAAGUCUCCGCCGCCACCAUCACCCUCUCCUCCACCACCAUACUAUUAUAAAUCCCCACCACCACCUUCACCAUCUCCUCCACCGCCGUACUACUACAAGUCCCCACCACCACCUUCUCCGUCUCCUCCACCACCAUAUUACUACAAAUCUCCACCACCGCCAUCACCAUCACCUCCACCACCAUACUACUACAAAUCUCCACCACCGCCAUCACCAUCACCUCCACCACCAUACUACUACACAUCCCCAAAUCUCCACCACCGCCAUCACCAUCACCUCCACCACCAUACUACUACAAAUCCCCUCCACCUCCGGCGAAAUCUCCCCCACCACCUCCGUACUAUUACAAGUCUCCGCCGCCACCUAAGGCUUACCCUCCUCCUUACCACUACACAUCACCGCCGCCGCCUGCAGUCUAUCCUCAUGAUCUGACUGUCAAGGUUGUCGGAAAAGUGUAUUGCUAUAGAUGUUAUGACUGGGCUUACCCAAAAAAGUCACACGACAAGAAGCACCUUAAAGGUAUAAUAAUUAUUUAAUAACUUCCCGUUAUAUGAAACUUAGUUGUUUUUAAUGCAUGAUAAAUUUAUCAUGUGUCGCUGUACAAAUGCUAGUUCCCACUAAGAAUCAACAUAAAAAUCUCCACCAUAUUUCUGCAUGUUUUGGCAUAUAUGUUGUAGUGGACUUAGUAUUAUUUUGUAUAAUUAAUUAUAAACAAAUUAAAACAGCUCUUUGAUUGUCCCAUUUGCCAAAUUAUUAAAGACCACCAAGUCAGAGUGAUAUUUGGCAAUUGGCAUCUCUGUUUUUUUUUCCUUUUUUUACUUAUUUAAAAAUACUGAAAUACCUACUCAGUGGAAAAUAAUAUGGAAAUGAUUAUUUUAAGGUUGUCAUGUAGUAACGUGCUUGACCACUGACAAAUAAAACUAAACAAAUAUAAUUAGUUAUGGUCUUGUUUUGAGAAAAUUGUGAUGCUGACGUGUGAUGUUGAUUGUCUCUUAACGACUUUUCUCUCCAACAGGAGCCGUGGUGGAAGUAACUUGCAAGGCAGGGGAAAAGGAAAUCAAGGCGUACGGGAAGACCAAAAUCAACGGCAAAUAUAGCAUCACCGUCGACGGAUUCGAGUACGGCAAAUAUGGAGCCAAGGCUUGCACAGCUAAGCUUCACGCGCCGCACAAGGGUUCCAAGUGUAGCAUCCCGACCAAGCUUCACGGCGGAAACAAGGGUGCCGAGCUGAAAGUGAAGUCCAAGGAUUACCACUUGAUUGUGUUGCAGGCUAAGUCGUUUGCUUAUGCUCCUAAGAAGCCUUAUGCAGAGUGUGAGAAGCCUAAGCCAAAACCCACACCUCCUAGUCCUUACUACUACAAGUCCCCACCUCCUCCUCCUCCAGCUUACGUGUACAAGUCCCCGCCACCACCGGCUUACGUGUACAAGUCUCCGCCCCCUCCUUCACCUAAGCCAUACUACUAUAAGUCACCUCCUCCUCCAACUUACGUGUACAAAUCACCUCCACCACCGGCUUACGUGUACAAGUCUCCGCCCCCUCCUUCACCUAAGCCAUACUACUAUAAGUCACCUCCUCCUCCAACUUACGUGUACAAAUCACCUCCACCACCGGCUUACAUGUACAAGUCACCGCCACCCCCUUCACCUAAGCCAUACUACUAUAAGUCACCCCCUCCUCCGACUUACGUGUACAAGUCACCUCCACCACCUGCUUACGUGUACAAGUCACCGCCACCUCCUUCACCUAAGCCAUACUACUACAAGUCACCACCACCACCAUCUCCAUCACCGCCGCCUCCUUACUAUUACAAGUCUCCACCACCACCGUCGCCUAAGCCAUACUACUACAAGUCCCCACCACCACCAUCUCCUUCGCCACCACCACCAUACUACUACAAGUCCCCACCGCCGCCAUCACCUAAGCCAUACUACUAUAAAUCUCCACCACCACCAUCACCUAAGCCAUACUACUACAAGUCUCCCCCUCCACCAUCUCCUUCACCACCACCACCUUACUACUACAAAUCUCCACCACCACCGUCACCUUCCCCACCACCACCUUACUACUACAAAUCCCCACCUCCGCCAUCACCAUCUCCACCACCACCGUACUAUUACAAAUCUCCCCCACCUCCGUCACCAUCACCACCGCCUCCUUCGUACUAGCAAUACCCACCCCCACCAUCCCCAUCACCCCACAACCCCCCCCCCCCCCCCCCCCCCCCCCCACCGCCUCCUUACUACUACAAAUCUCCACCCCCACCAUCCCCAUCACCCCCUCCUCCUUACUACUACAAGUCUCCACCACCACCGUCUCCCUCACCUCCUCCACCAUACUACUACAAGUCUCCACCUCCUCCGUCGCCAUCUCCACCACCACCAUACUACUACAAAUCUCCCACACCACCAUCAUCGUCACCGCCACCUCCUUACCACUACAAGUCUCCCCCACCACCAUCACCAUCUCCACCACCACCAUACUACUACAAGACCCCUCCUCCUCCNNNNNNNNNNNNNNNNNNNNNNNNNNNNNNNNNNNNNNNNNNNNNNNNNNNNNNNNNNNNNNNNNNNNNNNNNNNNNNNNNNNNNNNNNNNCCACCACCACCAUACUACUACAAAUCUCCCCCACCACCAUCUCCCUCACCUCCACCACCGUACUACUACAAGUCUCCACCACCACCAUCACCUUCACCACCACCACCAUACUACUACAAAUCUCCACCACCUCCUUCCCCAUCACCGCCACCUCCUUACCACUACAAGUCUCCCCCACCACCAUCACCAUCUCCACCACCACCAUACUACUACAAGUCCCCUCCUCCUCCCUCACCGUCUCCACCACCACCAUACUACUACAAAUCCCCACCACCACCGUCGUCAUCACCCCCUCCUCCAUACCACUACAGCUCACCUCCCCCACCGGUGAAAUCACCACCACCACCGGCAUACAUCUAUUCAUCUCCCCCACCACCAGCCCACUACUAGGCUCAAACGCCUCGGCAACAAACCACCAAUGUAAGUUUCUAUUACUCCUCUCAAUUCCAUCAAAACGCUAUAGCAAUUCAUUCAUACGUUAUUACAGCUUUCCUAACAGUACUACUUUCCCAUUUCAG